AUUCAAACACUGGUUUUCAUAUGAUUACUGAAGUUAAGCAAUGUUGAGCCUGGUCAGUAUCUAGAUGGGUGACUGCUUGGGAGUACCGGGUGCUGUAAG
Non-coding RNA from Acanthosepion pharaonis, 99 nucleotides. NCBI's taxonomy places the organism in Eukaryota, Metazoa, Mollusca, Cephalopoda, Sepiida, Sepiidae. The record is from the annotation of a GenBank genome assembly.